RNAcentral lists this ribosomal RNA (232 nucleotides) under uncultured bacterium. RNAcentral describes it as "partial 16S ribosomal RNA". It matches the Rfam family "Bacterial small subunit ribosomal RNA", at positions 15 to 249 of the family's 1533-position model. The record is from RNAcentral.
GAUCAUGGCUCAGGACGAACGCUGGCGGCGUGCUUCAUACAUGCAAGUCGAACGCGAAUCGGUAGCUUGCUACCGAGGAAAGUGGCGGACGGGUGAGUAAUAUGUAGAGAAUCUGCCCUAGAGAGGGGGACAACAGCUGGAAACGGUUGCUAAUACCCCAUAUGAGCGUACCUGAAAUGGUAUUCUUGAAAACUCCGGUGCUCUAGGAUGAGUCUGCAUCUGAUUAGCUAGG